GUAAUCAUUUUCGCCAUUCGCCAGUAUGCUAUCAGUAGACGUGUAUCCAUAUCAUUGUUGUUGUUAUUUCAAUGGCCGUUGGAUAAAUUAAUGGUUAAUUAAUUUAUUAUAAAAUAUUGCAUUUAUUAAAAACUCGGUUGUUGGCAAAAAUCGUCGGUGAAGAUACUCAAAACACCUCGACAUGGUUCUGCAGAAAAUGGAAAGCAGCGACGUAUCAGACUUUGUUGAGCUUGGCCAAUUGGCUGGCAUCAGAAUUGCGCCAAAUGUUGUAAGCGCAAUGUUAGAAUUGCUAAUCUUAGGCUACUCUCCAUCCACUAUCAGAAAAGUCUGCCGUGAAAUAGCUAAAUACAAAAGUCGACAUGAAAAAUCUGCAAUAAAUAGUAUUAACUCUAAAUAAAAUGAACUUUUUAAUUUUUUCUUAUUUACAAAUGUAUUUAUAUAUAUUUUUUUUUUUUAUGAAAAUUUCACACUUGACUGUAUUAUAAGUAAAAAUACAAUCACUUGGUUGUGACUACAUAAUAUUAUUAACAACAUUUUUAAGUUAAUAUGUUUUUAUUUAAAUUUAUAACCUUUUUAAUACCACAAAACCUGUUUAAGAUGACCUUAGAAAAUUUUACAAGUCAACAUUUUUCUAUAAUACUGGGUCCCACUGAACUGUAAACAGUAACUGUAUAUAGUUCAGUGCUGGGUCCUAGUUUAUUUAUUAAAUGAACCAUAUAACUGCCUAGUAAAAUGAUACACUUGGGUUUCAUGUUAUUUUGCCCAGACCAAUUUCAUUGUAUAUACUUUUGUUAUUAUUAAUGCAAAAAUAUAUUGGAGGUGUUAAAUUGGA
Long non-coding RNA from Adelges cooleyi (spruce gall adelgid), 832 nucleotides. RefSeq lists it as uncharacterized. The record is from RefSeq and is a predicted model, not a curated record. Lineage: Eukaryota; Metazoa; Arthropoda; Insecta; Hemiptera; Adelgidae. The transcript is spliced from 3 exons.